UGAAUCGGUAAUUGAGUUAGAAAUUGAGAAAUUAAAGUGGGUUCGGUGAACACAUUAUGAUGAGGAAGAAUUAGUGAUUGAUGUGUGAGUUUUAAUGAAGAUUAGAGAAGCUAAGUUUUAGAUAUUGUGGUGGAUGAUUUUGCGAGUUGCAGGAAUCACAUUAUGGAUCUCUCCGAAUUUUGUGGCUGAAGAGGAUGUGGAAACAGUUGAAACUGCUGGAACACAAACAGUUGAAUUCUGUGUAGACAUAUUUCUAAAAUUCAUGAAUCCAGGAGGACUUACAAGUUGAUUUAGGCAUAC
Molecule: long non-coding RNA, 300 nt
Organism: Papaver somniferum (opium poppy)
Lineage: Eukaryota; Viridiplantae; Streptophyta; Magnoliopsida; Ranunculales; Papaveraceae
Exons: 3
Source: RefSeq, a predicted model, not a curated record